UCUUCGGAGAGUUUGAUCCUGGCUCAGGAUGAACGCUGGCGGCGUGCCUAAUACAUGCAAGUCGAGCGAACUGAUUAGAAGCUUGCUUCUAUGACGUUAGCGGCGGACGGGUGAGUAACACGUGGGCAACCUGCCUGUAAGACUGGGAUAACUCCGGGAAACCGGAGCUAAUACCGGAUAACAUUUUUUCUUGCAUAAGAGAAAAUUGAAAGAUGGUUUCGGCUAUCACUUACAGAUGGGCCCGCGGUGCAUUAGCUAGUUGGUGAGGUAACGGCUCACCAAGGCAACGAUGCAUAG
RNAcentral lists this ribosomal RNA (297 nucleotides) under Priestia flexa. RNAcentral's name for it is "partial 16S ribosomal RNA". It matches the Rfam family "Bacterial small subunit ribosomal RNA", at positions 1 to 286 of the family's 1533-position model. Lineage: Bacteria; Bacillati; Bacillota; Bacilli; Caryophanales; Bacillaceae. The record is from RNAcentral.